GAACUGGAGAGUUUGAUUCUGGCUCAGAUUGAACGCUGGCGGCGUGCUUAACACAUGCAAGUCGAACGCGAAAGGGGCUUCGGCCCUGAGUAAAGUGGCGCACGGGUGAGUAACGCGUGGAUAAUCUGCCCUUAUGAUCGGGAUAACAGUUGGAAACGGCUGCUAAUACCGGAUACGCUCAAGAUGAACUUUUUGAGGAAAGAUGGCCUCU
Molecule: ribosomal RNA, 211 nt
Filed under: Desulfovibrio desulfuricans
Lineage: Bacteria; Pseudomonadati; Thermodesulfobacteriota; Desulfovibrionia; Desulfovibrionales; Desulfovibrionaceae
Description: partial 16S ribosomal RNA
Rfam family: Bacterial small subunit ribosomal RNA
Source: RNAcentral